AGUGAACGCUGGCGGUAGGCCUAACACAUGCCAGUCGAACGGCAGCACAGUAAGAGCUUGCUCUUACGGGUGGCGAGUGGCGGACGGGUGAGGAAUACAUCGGAAUCUACUUUUUCGUGGGGGAUAACGUAGGGAAACUUACGCUAAUACCGCAUACGACCUACGGGUGAAAGCAGGGGAUCUUCGGACCUUGCGCGAUUGAAUGGGCCGAUGUCGGAUUAGCUAGUUGGCGGGGUAAAGGCCCACCAAGGCGACGAUCCGUAGCUGGUCUGAGAGGAUGAUCAGCCACACUGGAACUGAGACACGGUCCAGACUCCUACGGGAGGCAGCAGUGGGGAAUAUUGGACAAUGGGCGCAAGCCUGAUCCAGCCAUACCGCGCGGGUGAAGAAGGCCUUCGGGUUGUAAAGCCCUUUUGUUGGGAAAGAAAAGCAGCAGGUUAAUACCCCGCUGUUCGGACGGUACCCAAAGAAUAAGCACCGGCUAACUUCGU
RNAcentral lists this ribosomal RNA (491 nucleotides) under uncultured bacterium. Its description in RNAcentral is "partial 16S ribosomal RNA". It matches the Rfam family "Bacterial small subunit ribosomal RNA", at positions 29 to 506 of the family's 1533-position model. The record is from RNAcentral.